RNAcentral lists this non-coding RNA (26 nucleotides) under Homo sapiens (human). Lineage: Eukaryota; Metazoa; Chordata; Mammalia; Primates; Hominidae. The record is from RNAcentral.
UGGAAGCGGGCCACGUGUGGGAUGAU